Molecule: ribosomal RNA, 443 nt
Filed under: uncultured bacterium
Lineage: Bacteria
Description: partial 16S ribosomal RNA
Rfam family: Bacterial small subunit ribosomal RNA
Source: RNAcentral
CCUACGGGAGGCUGCAGUGGGGAAUAUUGGACAAUGGGGGGAACCCUGAUCCAGCGACGCCGCGUGAGUGAAGAAGUAUUUCGGUAUGUAAAGCUCUAUCAGCAGGGAAGAAAGAAAUGACGGUACCUGACUAAGAAGCCCCGGCUAACUACGUGCCAGCAGCAGCGGUAAUACGGAGGGGGCAAGCGUUAUCCGGAUUUACUGGGUGUAAAGGGAGCGUAGACGGCGAUGCAAGUCUGGAGUGAAAGGCGGGGGCCCAACCCCCGGACUGCUUUGGAAACUGUAUGGCUGGAGUGCAGGAGAGGUAAGUGGAAUUCCUAGUGUAGCGGUGAAAUGCGUAGAUAUUAGGAGGAACACCAGUGGCGAAGGCGGCUUACUGGACUGUAACUGACGUUGAGGCUCGAAAGCGUGGGGAGCAAACAGGAUUAGAUACCCCAGUAGUC